UAUGGUGGGCUAGCCAACUGGAAGGAAAGGGGGGAGCUUCGGGGAUGAGCAUCGAAGGGGGAGCCUGGCCCAGUCCCAUCUCGCUCUCAGCCCCCUUCUCCAGAUCUGGGACCAGCAGGCUGCUGAAGUGUCCACGUCUAAGCCCACUUCAUGGGAUUGCACAGACCUGGAUGCUUCACAAUGGCUUCUCCAGCAGCAGGAACAGAGUGGACCACAGUCCUAGCCCUGCCCAAGUCCACCAAAACACGAGACAUGACAAGAAGGCCCAGACAGCAAGACAUGGAACAGAGGGGCUGCGAAGUUGGACUAAAUGCCAGUGGUGUGAAAAAUAUAUGGAUUUUUAUGUUGUCAAAUAUAGUUCAUACAUUUAUUUUCUCA
Long non-coding RNA from Phodopus roborovskii (desert hamster), 378 nucleotides. RefSeq lists it as uncharacterized. Lineage: Eukaryota; Metazoa; Chordata; Mammalia; Rodentia; Cricetidae. The transcript is spliced from 2 exons. The record is from RefSeq and is a predicted model, not a curated record.